CAGCGGGCUUGGAGCCCUGCCCGGAGCCCUGGCGCCGCCGUCGCUGGGCUGCCGGGGCCGCUACCAGCUGCUGCUUUCGGGGAAGGCCCUGGCCGACAGAUACCGGAAGAUUUACACGGCGGCGCUGAGCGACAGGGAGCUGGGGAGUCACCCGGGCAGGAGUAAGAAACUUUUUAGCAAGAAAAAAUUGAAAAGGAAACAGAAGACUAAAUUAAAAGUAAAAACACGCAACAAGCUGUUCUCUCAAGCACAAAAAGCUCCACCAUCCAAGACAGAAGAUGACAAACAUGUUUUAUUGUGUACUUCAAUCCAAGAAGGUAGACUUUUGAUUUGUGGUGAUAUGAAGUGAAAUAACAAAGAUAAAGAUUUCAGAAUGUCACAGAAUCACAGAAUUGCUGAGGUUGGAAGGGACCUCUGGAGAUCAUCUAGUCCAACCCCCCUGCUCAAGCAGGGUCACCUAGAGCACAUUGCACAGGAUCGCAUCCAGGCAGGUUUU
RNAcentral lists this long non-coding RNA (496 nucleotides) under Apteryx haastii (Great spotted kiwi). RNAcentral's name for it is "lncRNA (ENSAHAG00000012928.1)". Lineage: Eukaryota; Metazoa; Chordata; Aves; Apterygiformes; Apterygidae. The record is from RNAcentral.